This 463-nucleotide ribosomal RNA is filed under the name uncultured bacterium. RNAcentral describes it as "partial 16S ribosomal RNA". It matches the Rfam family "Bacterial small subunit ribosomal RNA", at positions 28 to 507 of the family's 1533-position model. The record is from RNAcentral.
GACGAACGCUGGCGGCGAGCUUAACACAUGCAAGUCGAACGGAAAGGCCUUUUCGGAGGUACUCGAGUGGCGAACGGGUGAGUAACACGUGGGUGAUCUGCCCUGCACUCUGGGAUAAGCCUGGGAAACUGGGUCUAAUACCGGAUAGGACCGCACUUUAGUGUGUGUGGUGGAAAGUUUUUUCGGUGUAGGAUGAGCCCGCGGCCUAUCAGCUUGUUGGUGGGGUAAUGGCCUACCAAGGCGGCGACGGGUAGCCGGACUGAGAGGUUGGUCGGCCACAUUGGGACUGAGAUACGGCCCAGACUCCUACGGGAGGCAGCAGUGGGGAAUAUUGCACAAUGGGCGCAAGCCUGAUGCAGCGACGCCGCGUGGGGGAUGACGGCCUUCGGGUUGUAAACUCCUUUCGCCAGGGACGAAGCGUUUUGUGACGGUACCUGGAGAAGAAGCACCGGCUAACUACGUG